GCGGUGAUAAUGCUUCAGUACUUCUACGGCCAAUGGUUUUGUGGAUUGGUGAUCGUCUUUCUGAAAAAUUGCCACCAUCUGAUUUGGAUGCUUACAAGAUCCAGCGACUGCUCUCCUUUCUGUCUCUACUAUUAGAGCACGCACAUGGAAAGAGGUUAUUCUUGAAGGAGGGUGGCCUUAGGAUGCUAAUCAAGGCUCUAGAAAUGUGUUUAGCUGCUGCUAGCUCGGAUGCAAAACAGUUAGCUCAGAAAGGGUUUUCCCUUAUUAGUUGGUGUGUGCCUGUAUUCAAGUCUAUUACACUACUUAGUGAAUGCAAAACUCGACAAACCCCGGGAAUAGUUGAGAGACACGUCCCUGAAGAUAUGACUGCUGAAGAAAAUUGCUUGCUUUUGUCUUUGCUCCUUAAAUUUUGCAAGGUCCUACCUGUUGGAAAAGAAUUGCUUUCAUGCCUGUUAGUAUUAAGAUUAUUUUGGUCAUCUGCCAAAGGAAAAGAUGCUCUGCUCUCACUUUAUCUGCAUGCUAAGUCCUCUAGCAUCGAGGAGCAGGAAUCAGAGAAACAAUUUGAAAAUGGUCUAAACCGUGAUUUUUCUCUAGACUGGAAGGAGCAUCCUCCAUUGCUAUGUUGCUGGGAAUCUCUGUUAAGGACACCUGCUUCAAAGGAUGAUCUACCAACUUAUGCUGUUCAGGGCAUUGGAA
This 696-nucleotide unclassified non-coding RNA is filed under the name Hevea brasiliensis (rubber tree). Lineage: Eukaryota; Viridiplantae; Streptophyta; Magnoliopsida; Malpighiales; Euphorbiaceae. The record is from RNAcentral.